Molecule: transfer RNA, 85 nt
Filed under: Felis catus (domestic cat)
Lineage: Eukaryota; Metazoa; Chordata; Mammalia; Carnivora; Felidae
Rfam family: tRNA
About the family: Transfer RNA (tRNA) molecules are approximately 80 nucleotides in length. Their secondary structure includes four short double-helical elements and three loops (D, anti-codon, and T loops). Further hydrogen bonds mediate the characteristic L-shaped molecular structure. tRNAs have two regions of fundamental functional importance: the anti-codon, which is responsible for specific mRNA codon recognition, and the 3' end, to which the tRNAs corresponding amino acid is attached (by aminoacyl-tRNA synthetases). tRNAs cope with the degeneracy of the genetic code in two manners: having more than one tRNA (with a specific anti-codon) for a particular amino acid; and 'wobble' base-pairing, i.e. permitting non-standard base-pairing at the 3rd anti-codon position.
Source: Rfam by way of RNAcentral
ACCUGGGUGGCUCAGUCGGUUGAGCAUCCGACUUCGGCUCAGGUCAUGAUCUCAUGUUUUGUGGGUUCCAGCCCCACAUCAGGUU